This 213-nucleotide long non-coding RNA is filed under the name Lathyrus oleraceus (garden pea). RNAcentral's name for it is "Pisum sativum (pea) long non-coding RNA (PSAT_LNC015540)". The record is from RNAcentral. Lineage: Eukaryota; Viridiplantae; Streptophyta; Magnoliopsida; Fabales; Fabaceae.
ACAUUAUACACUUCAUGGGAGAGGGGUACAUUUGUUAUGAAUGGGGGUUGUUCAUGGAAAUCAAACAAAUAAGAAUAUAUGCCUCAUACAUCAUACAAGUAGGCAACAGUUAAUCAAACAGAUAAGAUAAACAAACAUGUAUAUAAUCAAAUCAAAUAAUCAAAGAAUGAAAUGAAGGAGUAUUAGACAAUGCAUGAGAAGUAUAAACAUGUU